RNAcentral lists this long non-coding RNA (283 nucleotides) under Ananas comosus (pineapple). RNAcentral's name for it is "long non-coding RNA (ACOM_LNC038230)". The record is from RNAcentral. Lineage: Eukaryota; Viridiplantae; Streptophyta; Magnoliopsida; Poales; Bromeliaceae.
UAUGUCCUUGACGCUAGGUUCAUUGUCAUUCUUGUUCAACCUAUAUUUAUUAACACUAGGUUCAAUGCCACUCGAUCUAUGUGUAUAUAUAUAUAUGUCCACAUGCACAUGUCAUAUACUUAACAUCUUUACAUUAGGAUCUCCACAACAUGCUUAUCAUACUUUCUCUUUAGCAUUCUUAUUUCAUAUCUAUAUACAUUCUUACAUUAACAUUUCUACUCAUGCAACAGGACUAACAUAUAUCAUUUACUUUAUGCUUUCCACUUAACAUUAUUCACACUAU